AUGCUGACCGCCGCGUGCAAGUUCCGCAACAAAUCCGGCCUCGCCAGCACCACCCGUGUUAUGCCCUUCUUCCUCUCCACCUCCGCCACCGUCACUCCGCUCUGCCCUCCUCCGUCCCCAUACCCUAGCCCCCACUUCCGCCUCCCUUACUUGCCCCGCCGCGGUCUCGCCUUCCUCGCCGCCGCUGCGUCGCCGCGGACCCUGCCCCCCACGCCCAGGCAGGCCAUGGCGUCGCUGGCGACGUCGACGGCGGCCGCCGCCGCCGCGGAGGUGACGCACCUCUCGCAGCGCGAUGCCGCGGAUAUCGACGAGCAACUCAUGGGCCCCCUCGGUUUCAGCGUCGACCAGCUCAUGGAGCUCGCUGGGCUAAGCGUCGCUACGGCCGUCGCGGAGGUUUAUAAGUUGAGUGAACAUACAAGGGUUCUUAUCAUCUGUGGUCCGGGAAAUAAUGGUGGUGAUGGUCUGGUUGCUGCUCGGCAUCUUUAUCAUUUUGGAUACAAGCCCUUUGUUUGUUAUCCAAAACGUACGGCAAAACCUCUGUAUUCUGGUCUUGUUACUCAGCUUGAAUCGCUGGCUAUCCCGUUUGUGCCUGUUGAAGACCUACCUCAGGAUUUAUCAGGGCAGUAUGACAUUGUUAUUGAUGCGAUGUUUGGUUUCUCAUUUCAUGGAGCACCCCGGCCACCCUUUGAUGAUCUUAUCCAAAUGCUUGUUUCAUUGAGUGUUAUUGGUGAUUCAGCGAAAAGACCGCCAAUUGUUUCUGUUGAUAUCCCUUCUGGGUGGCAUGUAGAGGAGGGAGAUGUCAGUGGAGGAGGAAUUAAGCCUGAUAUGCUGGUAUCAUUGACCGCACCAAAGCUCUGUGCCAAAAAAUUUACUGGACCCCACCAUUUCCUAGGGGGUAGGUUUGUUCCGCCUCCCAUUUCGAGCAAAUAUGGGCUUGAACUUCCUCCAUAUCCUGGAACCUCCAUGUGUGUGAGAAUUGGAAAAGUGCCGUCAGUUGACAUUUCAUCUCUCAGGGAGAAUUAUAUUUCCCCGGAACUUCUUGAGACUCAAGUGAUGCCUAAUCCGUUCGACCAGUUUCGUACUUGGUUUGAUGAAGCAGUUACUGCUGGCCUGCGCGAACCUAAUGCCAUGGCUUUAACAACUGUCAAUAAAGCGGGAAAGCCUUCUUCAAGAAUGGUUCUUUUAAAAGGCGUUGAUAAGCAGGGAUUCGUUUGGUACACAAAUUACGGUAGCCAAAAAGCACAUGAUUUAUCGGAAAAUUCAAAUGCGGCACUUCUUUUCUACUGGAAUGAGAUGAACCGACAGGUUAGAGUAGAAGGGUCGGUUCAGAAGGUCUCAGAAGAAGAAUCUGAGAAGUAUUUCCACAGCCGCCCACGUGGAAGUCAGCUUGGUGCAAUUGUUAGCAAGCAGAGCACUGUCAUUUCUGGAAGAGAAGUUCUCCAACAAGCGUACAAGGAAUUGGAGCAAAAAUAUUCUGACGGGUGA
RNAcentral lists this ribosomal RNA (1485 nucleotides) under Triticum aestivum (bread wheat). Its description in RNAcentral is "partial small subunit ribosomal RNA". Lineage: Eukaryota; Viridiplantae; Streptophyta; Magnoliopsida; Poales; Poaceae. The record is from RNAcentral.